AAUAGAUACCCCGGUAGUCCACGCCGUAAACGAUGUCGACUUGGAGGUUGUUCCCUUGAGGAGUGGCUUCCGGAGCUAACGCGUUAAGUCGACCGCCUGGGGAGUACGGCCGCAAGGUUAAAACUCAAAUGAAUUGACGGGGGCCCGCACAAGCGGUGGAGCAUGUGGUUUAAUUCGAUGCAACGCGAAGAACCUUACCUGGUCUUGACAUCCACAGAAUUUUGCAGAGAUGCGAAAGUGCCUUCGGGAACUGUGAGACAGGUGCUGCAUGGCUGUCGUCAGCUCGUGUUGUGAAAUGUUGGGUUAAGUCCCGCAACGAGCGCAACCCUUAUCCUUUGUUGCCAGCGGUUAGGCCGGGAACUCAAAGGAGACUGCCAGUGAUAAACUGGAGGAAGGUGGGGAUGACGUCAAGUCAUCAUGGCCCUUACGACCAGGGGCCUACACACGUGCUACAAUGGCAUAUACAAAAGAGAAGCGAACCUCGCGAGAGCAAGCGGACCUCAUAAAAGUAUGUCGUAGUCCGGA
This 525-nucleotide ribosomal RNA is filed under the name uncultured bacterium. Its description in RNAcentral is "bacterial SSU rRNA". It matches the Rfam family "Bacterial small subunit ribosomal RNA", at positions 777 to 1297 of the family's 1533-position model. The record is from RNAcentral.